Small nuclear RNA from Pan paniscus (pygmy chimpanzee), 104 nucleotides. Lineage: Eukaryota; Metazoa; Chordata; Mammalia; Primates; Hominidae. The record is from Ensembl.
GUGCUUGCUUCGGCAGCACAUACACUAGAAUUGGAAUAAAUGAAAGAUUAGCAUGGCCCCCAUGCAAGGAUAACAUGCAAAUUCAUGAAGUGAUUUAAAUUUAA